Molecule: long non-coding RNA, 552 nt
Organism: Sebastes umbrosus (honeycomb rockfish)
Lineage: Eukaryota; Metazoa; Chordata; Actinopteri; Perciformes; Sebastidae
Exons: 2
Source: RefSeq, a predicted model, not a curated record
CACGCAGUGGCAGCCGCAUGGCCCGGUAACUCUCUGCGACUCCAGGCCCUUUGAUGACUUCUUGAAGGCAAACUCGACCGCCUCGCCUUCCUUCAGGCUGCGGAAGCCCUCCAUGUGCAACUUGCUCUGAAAAAGAUAGUAACAGCAUUAGUCAUCCUACCUGAUGGACAAACACAUCAACCGGUUCGUCCAGUGGCACUCCCUCCCGGUCGGUCAUGGACAGGAACCCGAAGCCCAUGCGGACGUUGAACCAUUUACACACACCGACUCCGAGGAAAGACUGGCAAUCCUCCUCGGUGCUCGGUCCCUCAUCCUCCUCGGUCUUACACACUCCUGCAACACAAAAAAAGUGCAUAAUUAGAAAAAAAAGAUAAAAAAUAAAUAAAUAAGUUUAUGUGGGCUACUGUUGUAAAUGCUGUUUGAAAAGUAUGCAAAAAAAUCAAACUUUUCUCCUUUCUGUCGCUUUCCUGCAUCAUCAAUCAAUCAAUAUGAAUCGAUGAAAAUGAGUCAUUUUGGCUUAAUUUCGAUUAUUUCAUUAAAAAAGCACCUGAG